Non-coding RNA from Poecilia reticulata (guppy), 446 nucleotides. The record is from RefSeq and is a predicted model, not a curated record. Lineage: Eukaryota; Metazoa; Chordata; Actinopteri; Cyprinodontiformes; Poeciliidae.
UCUAGGCGAGUCUCAGUGUGAGGUUUGGACCAGUUGGCCACAGAUGAGUCUCAAGCCCCCAACCCAUCUGGAGCCACCUUGGAGAUGAAGCAAAAAAACCUGGAGCGUGUCCAUCUCUUGGCAGAGCCGGUCCGACUCCAUACAUACAAGUACAGCAGACAGGCUUUAAAUGUGGAACCUGAGAAGCGUCACAGCAGAGCCAGAUGGACACGGACCAAACGGUUUGAGCUCCUCGCCUGUGAUAAACAGUCGGUGUUGUGACGAGGAAGAUGAAGUCUAUCUGCAAGAUCUGCGCUCCGUGCUCACCUGGGGCGUCUGAGAUGGCGGGCUCCGUGUUCACAGCUCGGCGUUCUCACCCAUCCACAGCAUGUUGGGCGCCCCGGGGCAGAACGACACCUCUCCCACACUCUCCUGAAUAAUUCUGCCCCAACCAUACGUCUUGUGUC